This 543-nucleotide ribosomal RNA is filed under the name uncultured Glomeromycotina. Its description in RNAcentral is "SSU rRNA". It matches the Rfam family "Eukaryotic small subunit ribosomal RNA", at positions 555 to 1098 of the family's 1831-position model. The record is from RNAcentral. Lineage: Eukaryota; Fungi; Glomeromycota.
GCAAGUCUGGUGCCAGCAGCCGCGGCUAAUUCCAGCUCCAAUAGCGUAUAUUAAAGUUGUUGCAGUUAAAAAGCUCGUAGUUGAACCUCGGGAUCAAUGGAUCGGUCAUGCCAUCGGUAUGUACUGGUCUCAUUGGUUCUCACCUUCUAAGGAACCAUGAUGUCAUUCAGUUGAUGUUGUGGGGAAUUAGGACUGUUACCUUGAAAAAAUUAGAGUGUUUAAAGCAGGCUAACGCUUGAAUACAUUAGCAUGGAAUAAUGAAAUAGGACAUCGCAUUCUAUUUUGUUGGUUUCUAGGAUCGAUGUAAUGAUUAAUAGGGAUAGUUGGGGGCAUUAGUAUUCAAUUGUCAGAGGUGAAAUUCUUGGAUUUAUUGAAGACUAACUACUGCGAAAGCAUUUGCCAAGGAUGUUUUCAUUAAUCAAGAACGAAAGUUAGGGGAUCGAAGACGAUCAGAUACCGUCGUAGUCUUAACCAUAAACUAUGCCGACUAGGGAUCGGAUGAUGUUGAUUUUUUAAUGACUCAUUCGGCGCCUUACGGGAAAC